GGAGGGGGCGCCGCAAUGCUUACACCCCCUCUGAGUCCCGAUGCGCACAGGUCCCUUCGUCGGAGCAGCACAAGGCUGCGGUGUGAUGAAACUGAAAAUAAACUACAGCUCCCAGAAGCCCUUGCUGCGGGAGCUGUAGUUUACUUUCAGUUUCUUCUAUGUGGACAUUCUUGUGCUACCUGUUGUGCCCUAAGAGGGGGCACAGGGAACAAGUUACCCCAGCCCCCCCUGCUGCCUUUGAUCACCGCAGCAGUGCACUAUUGCACUGCUGAGCUGGAAAAAUUAAUGACUGCAGCCUAAGGUCCGAAAAAGGGGCGGAGCUACACGGCACUGUGCUCACAGUGACAGACCAGCCAACACCAUCGAAGAGAGGAGGGGAGAAGACCAGCAGCACACAGCACAGCCUAAAUAAUUUGCACCCCUGAUGAAGUCCUAAGGGACGAAAUGCGUUGGAUUUCAACGAUUGUGCGUUUCCUUACAUUGGUGAACAGAUCAUACAUGCUUUCUCAUGCUGAGGAAUAAGUAUCUUACCUAAUGAUUGAAAACACCUUACAAUAGAUGAUCAGAAAUGAAUGUAUUACUCAAGUGACAUGUGUGAUCCUGUGAUUCAUGUUAUGGAAGUAUAUAUGUAAUAUGCUUUUUAAUAAAUGAUUUUAUAAAUUAA
Molecule: long non-coding RNA, 664 nt
Organism: Pseudophryne corroboree (corroboree frog)
Lineage: Eukaryota; Metazoa; Chordata; Amphibia; Anura; Myobatrachidae
Exons: 2
Source: RefSeq, a predicted model, not a curated record